This 490-nucleotide ribosomal RNA is filed under the name uncultured bacterium. Its description in RNAcentral is "partial 16S ribosomal RNA". It matches the Rfam family "Bacterial small subunit ribosomal RNA", at positions 30 to 505 of the family's 1533-position model. The record is from RNAcentral.
AGUGAACGCUGGCGGUAGGCCUAACACAUGCAAGUCGAACGGCAGCACAGUAAGAGCUUGCUCUUACGGGUGGCGAGUGGCGGACGGGUGAGGAAUACAUCGGAAUCUACUUUUUCGUGGGGUAUAACGUAGGUAAACUUACGCUAAUACCGCAUACGACCUACGGGUGAAAGCAGGGGAUCUUCGGACCUUGCGCGAUUGAAUGAGCCGGUGUCGGAUUAGCUAGUUGGCGGGGUACAGGCCCACCAAGGGGACGAUCCGUAGCUGGUCUGAGAGGAUGAUGAGGCACAAGGGGAAGGAGAAAAGGCCAAGAAUACUAAGGGAGGCAGAAGGGGGGAAUUGGGGAAAAUGGGGGCAACACUGAGACAGCAAUGCCGAGUGAGUGAAGAAGGCAUUAGGGUGGUAAAGCGCUUGCGGAAGGAAAGAAACGGUGGGCUCGAAAAUAGUCCGCUAAGGACGGGAACUGAAGAAGAAGCAACGGCGAACUACG